GACGAACGCUGGCCGCGUGCUUAACUCAUGCAAGUCGAACGGAAAGGCCCUGCUUUUGUGGGGUGCUCGAGUGGCGAACGGGUGAGUAACACGGGAGUAACCUGCCCUUGACUUUGGGAUAACUUCAGGAAACUGGGGCUAAUACCGGAUAGGAGCUCCUGCUGCAUGGUGGGGGUUGGAAAGCUUCGGCGGUUGGGGAUGGACUCGCGGCUUAUCAGCUUGUUGGUGGGGUAGUGGCUUACCAAGGCUUUGACGGGUAGCCCGCCUGAGCGGGUGACCGGCCACAGUGGGCCUGAGAUACGGCCCAGACUCCUACGGGAGGCAGCAGUGGGGAAUAUUGCACAAUGGGCGGAAGCCUGAUGCAGCAACGCCGCGUGCGGGAUGACGGCCUUCGGGUUGUAAACCGCUUUCGCCUGUGACGAAGCGUGAGUGACGGUAAUGGGUAAAGAAGCACGGGCUAACUACGUG
Molecule: ribosomal RNA, 468 nt
Filed under: uncultured bacterium
Lineage: Bacteria
Description: partial 16S ribosomal RNA
Rfam family: Bacterial small subunit ribosomal RNA
Source: RNAcentral